RNAcentral lists this transfer RNA (70 nucleotides) under archaeon. Its description in RNAcentral is "tRNA-Gln". It matches the Rfam family "tRNA". Rfam says of the family: Transfer RNA (tRNA) molecules are approximately 80 nucleotides in length. The record is from RNAcentral.
GUCCCGUCGUCUAGCGGCCAAGGAUAGCGGACUUUGGAUCCGUUGACCCCAGUUCGAAUCUGGGCGGGAC